GAGGGUAUAGCUCAGUGGUACAGCACAUGCCUAGCGCGCAUGACGUCCUGGGUUCAAUCCCCAGUACCUCUG
Molecule: transfer RNA, 72 nt
Filed under: Camelus bactrianus (Bactrian camel)
Lineage: Eukaryota; Metazoa; Chordata; Mammalia; Artiodactyla; Camelidae
Also listed under: 1 other name
Rfam family: tRNA
About the family: Transfer RNA (tRNA) molecules are approximately 80 nucleotides in length. Their secondary structure includes four short double-helical elements and three loops (D, anti-codon, and T loops).
Source: Rfam by way of RNAcentral